GGUCUCAGGGCCCGCCCUGCUGAGUAGGGCGCCCGCGAGUGUGCCUGUCCCGUGGUGGUUGUGAGGUCGGAGACGGGGUUGCGCGGAAGGAAAGCGGGACGCGAGGGAUGGGUGUGGCUCCGGGCCGGAGCUCGCGGAGAGCGGCGGGGCCCACAGGAGGAGAGCCAUCUUCCGUGAACAUUCUCACAGACUUCUCAUUGUGUGCCCUCAUCCCCUGCUGGGAGGCACAACCAGCAUCACCACCCGCUUGUCUACACAGAAGCAUUGAGCUGCAGAGAGCUUAACCUGGCCCACGAUGACUGAAGACAGAGGAGGACCAGACUACAGUCACAUGCCACCCUCCAGGCAGCUGCUGGAUCAUCGUCCUGCCUUAUUGACUCGAAGAGCUUGUCACAGAUAAACAGGUCACCUCUGGAUCAGGUCUGCUUUAAACAAUAGCUUUCAUCAGCCCCCUCCUAAGCCUGAGAGACAUGGCCUGGCCACCUCUGGUUUUGCUCUGACCCAUCGGAUUGAAGCUGAGCAGACGUCGAGGUUUGACAGAUCCUACUUCGGGGGCUGCAGUGAGCUCAGAAAAGCAUGCAUCCUCUCUCCAACCUAGGACCACCAGUCUCUUAACAGGCGUGUCCGAUCUGAUGGCUGCAUACACCCCUAAAUGACUAUCAGUAUUUCCCCCAGCUGGCGAUGAAGCACGUGGGGAGAUUGCUCUGUGCAUCUUCAGGAUGCUGAGAAGUAAAGAAGUUGACUUUGGGGGCAUCUCAGUAGCUUAAGGAUUUAAGGUCACCAUGGUGAUGGGCACCAGCCUGAAGUCUCUCGAGUGGGACACAAGCUGAUGGAGAGCGAGCCUGGCUCCUGGGUUCAGGGAGCUGUGUCCUUGGCACAGCAUCCCAGAAGUUCUCCCUAUCUACUGCACCUGCUACUGAAAUCCCUUUGGGAAUUCUCCUUGCCCCGUCCAGGACAAAGUCAUCUAAGAAACUGGGAAGAUUCCAGAGGAACGGGCUCAACUUCAGGCAUGAGAAAGGACCAAAUCUUGGCCCUGACAACUCGGUCAACCAGUACUUCAGCCUCCCUGAACCUCGGUUUUCUAAAUCCGUAAAAUGGGAGGGGUAGUUUGUUUUGUUUUGUUUUGUUUUUCUUUUGCCCCACGGGGUGACUGUGGCGUUGAAGAAGAAUGUCACACUAGAAGGGGAGAAUGGAAAGCCCUUCCUUCAUUAUAAAAGGUCAGCUAAGGGCUGGGGAGGUGGCUCUGUCAGCCAAGUGCUUACCAUGCAAACAUGAUGACCUGAGUUCAAUCCCCAGAGCCCACACUUAACCUCUCAGGAGCAGCGUGUCUUGUCUUCCUGGCACUGGAAGAUCCCUGUGACUUGGUGACUAGCCAGCCUGGCCUACUUGGUGAGACCAUCUCAAGCAACAACGUGAAUGAAUGGCUCCUGAAGAAUGACAUUUGAGGUUGUCCCCUGGCCUAAAUGCAUAUGCAUGUGCACGCUUGUGCACACUGGGUAAAAAUGUCAUUAGGGCUGGCAACGUGGCUCGGUGGGUAACGGCACUUCCUGUCAAAUCCGAUGGCCUGAGUUUGAACCCUGAGAUCCACCUGACAGAGGGAGAGACUCAUCUCCUGCAAAUGAUCUCCCUGGCCUCCACAUAUAUCCACCCCACUACACACAUACAAAUAAAUAAUUUUUUUUGAGACAGGGUUUCUCUGAUAGCCCGGGUUAUCCUGGAACUGGCUUUAUAGACCAGGCUGGCUUUGAACUCAGAGAUCUGCCUACCCUGCCUCUGCCUACCUAGUGGCAGGAUUAAAGGCAUGUACCACCACCAGGCUAAUAAAUGUAAUUUUAAUAAUUGAUUUUUUUAUUUAUGUGUAUGUGUGCCUGCUUAUCUGUAUAUGCACCAUAUGCUGCAAGUACCCUCAGAGGCCAGAAGAUAGGCUGGAUCCCUGGAGCUGGAGUUACAGGCUGUUGUGAACGUCCCUAUGUGAGUACUGGGAACUGGGAGCCAAAGUUAGGUCCUCUGUAAAAAGCAAGUGCUCAUAACCACUGAGCUCUCUCUCUCUCCCUCUCUCUCUCUCUCUGUGUGUGUGUGUUCACAAUAAUGUAAUUUUUGAAAAAUGUUACCAGACAUCCCAAGAGUCCCACAGUCUUGAGCCACCUCCUCUCAGAAGAAUUGUGAACUUCAAAGGGAAAAUGGUAGCUUCUUACUGGGGAGCUCUGGCAGAAGCCACACAGUGAAGAGUGGAGCAUCACCAGCCAUGAGCAGCGCAUCUGCUGGCAGCUCCUGACAGCGUGGACGGGGACAGGCACACACCACCCACGAAGCGUGGUGGAGGAAGUAAGCCUGCACCAUGGGUUAGGCGACAAUCACACCUCAGCUGGGAGAUGGAGACAAGCAAGCAGCUUUAGUGUUGGUACGUAGGAGGAGGAAUGAUCAGGGUCACCAGGGGCAAGCAGGCAGGGAGUGCACUCUAGAGGACAAGGCUGUGGAAACCCUACACAGAGUAGAGUGCCCGAGUCUUGAGUGUAUGCGGGAACAGGAAAGCUGUGCUAUAAGUGACACUCGAGGUCCAUCUGAAGAAGUGUGAGAACAGAUGGCGUCCUAGAUGGUAUCACAGCUCUCAGAUGUGAAGCUGGUCCUGGGCCAGCUGGGAAUAUUGGAGUAUCUUGGUGACUGCAAAUUUACAAAUAAGUUGACAAAAUAAGCACACACAUUCACACACACACACACACACACACACACUCACGCAAACACACUCACGCACACAAGUGCAGGAAAGGAUGUUCAUCUGUAUAUUUAUUUAUUUUGGUGUGUUUGUGUGAGGGGGUGUAUCUUAGGGUUUCUAUUCCUGCACAAACAUCAUAACCAAGAAGCAGGCUGGGGAGGGAAGGGUUUAUUCAGCUUACACUUCCACAUUGCUGUUCAUCACCAAAGGAAGUCAGGACUGGAACUCAAGCAGAUCAGGAAGCAGGAGCUGAUACAGAGGCCAUGGAGGGAUGUUACUUACUGCUUUGCUUUGGGGAUUACAGUUAAGUGAUUGGAUAAAUCUCAGAAGAAACUUUGAACUUUGGACUUUUAACAUUGUUGAGACUGCUAUUGACUAUGGGGACUUUUGAAGUUGGACUAAAUGUAUUUUUGCAUUGUGUUAUAUUUAGGUAUGGCCCCCAUAGACUCAUAUGUUUGGGCAAGCCUAUGGGGGCCAGGGAGUGGAAUGUGAUGGUUUGUAUAUGCUCAGCCCAGGGAGUGGCAUUAUUAGAAGGUGUGGCCUUGUUGGGGUAUGUGUGUCACUAUGGGUGUGGGCUUUAAGACCCUCAUCCUAGCUGCCUGGAAGCCAGUCUUCUAGUAGCCUUCAGAUGAAGAUGUAGAACUCUCAGCUCUGCUGCACCACACCUGCCUGGAUGCUGCCAUGCUCCCGUCUUGAUGAUAAUGAACUGAACCUCUGAACCUGUAAGCCAGCUCUAAUUAAAUGUUGUCCUUUAU
RNAcentral lists this long non-coding RNA (3468 nucleotides) under Mus musculus (house mouse). Its description in RNAcentral is "RIKEN cDNA C130046K22 gene (C130046K22Rik)". Lineage: Eukaryota; Metazoa; Chordata; Mammalia; Rodentia; Muridae. The record is from RNAcentral.